UGGUUCUGGCAUCGAUGAAGAACGCAGCGAAAUGCGAUAAGUAAUGUGAAUUGCAGAAUUCAGUGAAUCAUCGAAUCUUUGAACGCACAUUGCGCCCAUUAGUAUUCUAGUGGGCAUGCCUAUUCGAGCGUCAUUUCAACCCUUAAGCCCUUGUUGCUUAACGUUGGGAGCCUGCGUCUUAGGGCGCAACUCCCUAAAGUUAGUGGCGGAGUUGGAGCACACUCUGAGCGUAGUAAUUCUGUUCUCGUUUCUGUGGUGGCUUUGGCGACCUGCCGUAAAAACCCCCUAUACUUCUAGUGGUUGACCUCGGAUUAGGUAGGAAUACCCGCUGA
Molecule: unclassified non-coding RNA, 332 nt
Filed under: uncultured fungus
Lineage: Eukaryota; Fungi
Description: partial contains 5.8S ribosomal RNA and internal transcribed spacer 2
Rfam family: 5.8S ribosomal RNA (bases 1-133)
Source: RNAcentral